Molecule: ribosomal RNA, 253 nt
Filed under: uncultured bacterium
Lineage: Bacteria
Description: partial 16S ribosomal RNA
Rfam family: Bacterial small subunit ribosomal RNA
Source: RNAcentral
UACGUAGGGGGCAAGCGUUGUCCGGAAUCAUUGGGCGUAAAGCGCGUGUAGGCGGCCCGAUAAGUCCGCUGUGAAAGUCCAGGGCUCAACCCUGGGAUGCCGGUGGAUACUGUCGGGCUCGAGUCCGGAAGAGGCGAGUGGAAUUCCUGGUGUAGCGGUGAAAUGCGCAGAUAUCAGGAGGAACACCAAUGGCGAAGGCAGCUCGCUGGGACGUGACUGACGCUGAGGCACGAAAGCGUGGGUAGCAAACAGG